RNAcentral lists this ribosomal RNA (442 nucleotides) under uncultured bacterium. Its description in RNAcentral is "partial 16S ribosomal RNA". It matches the Rfam family "Bacterial small subunit ribosomal RNA", at positions 338 to 795 of the family's 1533-position model. The record is from RNAcentral.
CCUACGGGGGGCUGCAGUGGGGAAUAUUGGGCAAUGGGCGCAAGCCUGAACCAGCAACGCCGCGUGAAGGAAGAAGGCUUUAGGGUUGUAAACUUCUUUUAAGAGGGAAGAGCAGAAGACGGUACCUCUUGAAUAAGCCACGGCUAACUAAGUGCCAGCAGCCGAGGUAAUACGUAGGUGGCAAGCGUUGUCGGGAUUUACUGGGUGUAAAGGGCGUGCAGGCGGGAAGACAAGUCAGAUGUGAAAUCCCGCGGCUCAACCGCGGAACUGCAUUUGAAACUGUUUGUCUUGAGUACCGGAGAGGUCAGCGGAAUUCGUGGUGUAGCGGUGAAAUGCGUAGAUAUAAGGAAGAACACCAGUGGCGAAGGCGGAUUACUGGACGGUAACUGACGCUGAUGCGCGAAAGCGUGGGGAGCAAACAGGAUUAGAUACCCUAGUAGUC